Molecule: long non-coding RNA, 3706 nt
Organism: Phasianus colchicus (ring-necked pheasant)
Lineage: Eukaryota; Metazoa; Chordata; Aves; Galliformes; Phasianidae
Source: Ensembl
AUGAGAGGGAUGAGAUGGAGUGCCACGUCAAAUAGCAAACACAAAGAUCCUCUCAAUGAUGAGCACUGCUCACACAGCAGCAGUAAUGGGAGCUACAACUGGCACGGAUCCAUGGUCCCCAGCUUAUUUCAAGAUCAGAGCAAAACACAGAAGAUGCCAAAUGAUAAAUAUUUGACUUUCAAAGAUGUAAAAAGAAGAGCAGCAUCAAGGGAAUCAAUCUCUUGGGAUGUCCUGUGGUCUGAAUGUACAUUUUGUAUUGCUGAGAUAGGAGCUGGGGAUGUGGUGUGUAAAAAUGUGGGUUUUACAAGGAAAAAGAAUCAUCCAGGAGACCUCUGGGAAAUCACAGGAUGUGUGUACACCUUAUGAUCCCUUGUUUGAGUUGGUCCUAUUUAUCUAAACCAGGUGCUGUGUGACGCCUUCAGCCUCAGCCAUGGGGAAUGUGAUGCACACCAGUGUUGGCAGACUGGCUGGAAGAUUGAGGAGUGGGACAAACACUUGGUGCAAACCCAUGAGCUUCACACAGCCCAGCCUGAUCUGAACCAGCACAUGUGGUGAGACCCUAGAACAGGCUGCCCACUGAGGUUGUGGAUACUCCCUACCUGGCAGCGCUCAGGGUCAGGCUGGAUGGGGCUGUGAGCAACCUGGUCUCAUGGGAGGUGUCCCUGCCUGUAACAGAAGGGUUGGAGCUAGAUGAUCUUAAACAUCCCCUCCAACUCAAACUAUUCUAUGAUUAUAGCUGUGUAGGCAGGAGACAGAGCAAUCAUGGAUCAAUCCUUCCUCCCAGCAGCUCCCAGGCUCUCUCAGGAGCACUAAGAGUGGUCUGUGUGUACUCAGCAAGGCCAACUUUUCACACCCCAUUAGCCCAGAUGUGAUGAACCUCACUUUCCACAGCCAAUUCUGCUGAUGGAGCUGACCAAGAUUUUUUUAUUCCCAGCUGAACGGUCUUCUCUCAAAGAAAAGCAAAUUCAGCAAAAUAUAUUUUUUGUUGACAUUUUUUAUGGGUAAUUAUUGAAACACUUCCAUUUUAGCAUUUGGCCAAUUCUGUCUCAUCUGGCAUGAAGUAAUCAAAAUCCAGUAGAGAAGCCCUCACUGGAAUUACCUCUUUCAACCAUUUUAUGCAGUUCUCCUUCAAGAAGGCUGUCCUGAGAUUCCCAAGCUGAAAUAGAAUGGGAUGGGAUGUUGCCUCUCACCCUACACUUUGACAGUGCUUUUCAUUUUGCUUUGGGACUUUCCUCCACAACACACAAAUAUUGCUCCAGAAAGCUGCAUUUCUAAGGAGGAAGGUUGUCUUGUGCCAACUGAAUCACAGACGGGAUGGUUUGACUCAAGGCGUGUAGAAAUUCACAGUUGCCACAGCAAGGCUCCUCAUGCAGCCAAGGCAAUGCAGGGAGGAGUCGAUGAAGGGAGACCUGUGUGGUUUUAUAGUGACAGAUUUCUUUGCAUAAUGCAUUUUGGGUGAAGUUUCAGGUUUAUUUUGUACUUAUCUGAUGUCAGAAGAGUACAUAUUAAGUCUUCAAAAAAAGAAAAAAAAAAAGGUUUUUUUUUUGUAAUCAGCUUAUUGCAGCCUUCCAUGUAUAAUAACACAGUUAUAUGGCAGUAAACCUGGAAUCCUACAGGAGUUUGUUGUAAAGUGACAGAUUCAGGUCAAAGCUGUUAAUGAGCAGCCAGGCUGAUGUGUAAUGCAUAAUGAAGAAGAAAAUGACAUUAUUGUUUUACAGGUGAGCUCAGAAAGUUAGGAUAUGCCAGGUCCAUUAGAGCAACUGUGUUUCUUGAAGUUUAAUAUCUUGCCUCUGGCCAGUACCUGAUAGCUCAGAAAAACUUGGGCUAUUUUAUUGCUGAUAACUAAAGGCACGCUGUAGAUACAUGGUUUUUGGCUACUUAGCUCCCUCCUCCCUGGCAACAAACCCUAAAUGUCCCAGUUGUCUUUUCUGUAGGUGCAGACUUUGAAGGGUGCUGGUAUGGGGUGGGUAUGACCAUUCAGACCCAUAUUUUUUUCUUUGCUCUGCCACUGUGAGACCCAAUGCAGCUGUUUCAAUGUCUGUUCUGCCUUUCUUAUCUGAAAUGAAUGCUUUUUGGGGAAUGCGUUUCUCAUGCCCCUGUUGUCUAGUUGGCUUUUUUGUUUCCUAAUGCUUCUUUGUACUUAUUUUCAUUAAUUGGAGCCUAUAAUGAAUGCACAAGUAAUACUGGCCUGAAAAAAAAAAAAACCAAACAAACAACAAAACAUUGCUCACCCCAUGAGGAAUAUCAAAGUAGUAAAAAAGCACUUUGGAAACGGGAAGAGAUGCAAAAAGACAAAAGCAAUCAUUUCUGUUCAGCAUUUCCUGGGAAGAAAGGGCAGCAAGCAAAUACCCUAACAAACAGUUGACAAGCAGGUCCUCCUCUGUGAGACUGACCCCUGAAAGAUGAUUGGGAACUUCAGCUGUUGUCACACGCGUUUUCUUCUUAAUUGGUGCUCUCCUGAGAUGCUGCUUGAAACGAGGUCUCCUUUCUGUUAUGUCUCUGAAAUGCCAUCCACUCUGGUGUCUUGGUGCAUGACUGAGGUCCCCCAGUGCCACAUCUGAGAUAUUAAUUCUCAUUAAGAAGUGAUGCAAUUUGUGUCCGUUUGGAUACUUGCUGUGCUUUUCACUGGCUGUUCUGGGUGCAGUGUAGGAAUUCAUAUCAGUCUAUUGCCCACUGCUUGAGAUGACUGAACCCAACCCAGACACUGAAAUUAAAGAAGUAAUUCAGGCUAGUAAGUUGCUUUGGGAUCUCAGCCCUCCCAGGCCUUUAUGUCCCUGAGAUGUGGGAUUCCCCUAGAACUCAACACCCAUUACCAGUUAUUGACAACUAGGGAUCUGAGGCAGAAAAAUAUGUUGUCAUGAUCUUAACUCGUGGUUUUGAACGGUCCUUUUGACUUUCACACAUGCUCAGUAUUGCAACCCUCAGUGCUCAGCACCACGCAGGACUGAGCCCUCACUAAUCCUUCUAAACCCAAGUCUAUUGACUUUCAAAGCAAACCGCAAGGGCUUCUUAUCUACAUUUCCUGAGCAAGCUGCUUGCUUAGGCUGAGCCUUUUGCAUUAGUCUUCACCAGAGUUGAUUUUGAGCAGCGAACAUGAUUAGAUUUUCAUAUCAAGAGAGACUGAAAGCAUGGAGAUGGUUGCCAAACAUCCAGGAGUAAGUCAGGAGCGAACUCCCUUCAUCAAGCGGUUUGUGAAAACACAGCAAGAUCAGAAUUAGUGCCUAAUCCCAACCCAGAUAAUAUCCAGGUUUUGUUUUCUCACUCUGGAAUGAAACUUAACAGAACCCUGAGUCUGAGUGUCUUAGGGAGGCUUGAAAACCAGAUCUCAGUUGUUAGCUGCAUGACAUUUGUAUAAUCUGAUCCUGUCAUCACAUUGCAGAACAAGAUUCAGCCCUAAAUUACACCACAACCCAACUCAGACAAGCUGCGUGUCGUCAAGAAGCCUGCCCCAGAAAACAGGCUGAAAUAAGGAUUGUUUUGCCUCUAGAAUAUUUCUGUUGCUGGCUUCUCUUUGCACCAAAAUCAGGCAAAGGCAGUGCUUUUAGGCUCGACCUGAGCAUUUGGGGUGUCUCAAGAUUAACACUAAAUCCAUGCCAUGGUAACACAUUGCUGUAUAUCUUUGUUAAGGUCACUACCAGAGCCUGUGAGAGUGGGGCACUCAGGCAGCAAAACUGUCAGGGAAAAUAAAAGCAUAUCUAGAAUAGCA